AUCAUUUUAGCAAACAAUUGCUUAAAAUUUAGAAUUUUACCAUACCUUAAUAGUAGAAAUAAUU
RNAcentral lists this transfer RNA (64 nucleotides) under Parachtes teruelis. Its description in RNAcentral is "tRNA-Leu". The record is from RNAcentral. Lineage: Eukaryota; Metazoa; Arthropoda; Arachnida; Araneae; Dysderidae.